RNAcentral lists this ribosomal RNA (467 nucleotides) under uncultured bacterium. RNAcentral's name for it is "partial 16S ribosomal RNA". It matches the Rfam family "Bacterial small subunit ribosomal RNA", at positions 28 to 507 of the family's 1533-position model. The record is from RNAcentral.
GACGAACGCUGGCGGCGUGCUUAGCACAUGCAAGUCGAACGGAAAGGCCCUGCUUUUGUGGGGUGCUCGAGUGGCGAACGGGUGAGUAACACGUGAGUAACCUGCCCUUGACUUUGGGAUAACUUCAGGAAACUGGGGCUAAUACCGGAUAGGAGCUCCUGCUGCAUGGUGGGGUUGGAAAGUUUCGGCGGUUGGGGAUGGACUCGCGGCUUAUCAGCUUGUUGGUGGGGUAGUGGCUUACCAAGGCUUUGACGGGUAGCCGGCCUGAGAGGGUGACCGGCCACAUUGGGACUGAGAUACGGCCCAGACUCCUACGGGAGGCAGCAGUGGGGAAUAUUGCACAAUGGGCGGAAGCCUGAUGCAGCAACGCCGCGUGCGGGAUGACGGCCUUCGGGUUGUAAACCGCUUUCGCCUGUGACGAAGCGUGAGUGACGGUAAUGGGUAAAGAAGCACCGGCUAACUACGUG